GGUAGUGUGGCCGAGCGGUCCAAGGCGCUGGAUUUAGGCUCCAGUCUCCGAAAGGAGGCGUGGGUUCAAAUCCCACCACUGCCA
This 84-nucleotide transfer RNA is filed under the name Albula glossodonta (roundjaw bonefish). It matches the Rfam family "tRNA". From Rfam's summary of the family: Transfer RNA (tRNA) molecules are approximately 80 nucleotides in length. The record is from Rfam by way of RNAcentral. Lineage: Eukaryota; Metazoa; Chordata; Actinopteri; Albuliformes; Albulidae. RNAcentral also lists the same sequence under 1 other name.